UACGUAGGGGGCAAGCGUUGUCCGGAUUUAUUGGGCGUAAAGAGCUCGUAGGCGGUUUGUCGCGUCUGCUGUGAAAACUCGAGGCUCAACCUCGGGCUUGCAGUGGGUACGGGCAGACUAGAGUGCGGUAGGGGUGACUGGAAUUCCUGGGUGUAGCGGUGGAAUGCGCAGAUAUCAGGAGGAACACCGAUGGCGAAGGCAGGUCACUGGGCCGCAACUGACGCUGAGGAGCGGAAAGCAUGGGGAGCGAACAGG
RNAcentral lists this ribosomal RNA (255 nucleotides) under uncultured bacterium. RNAcentral describes it as "partial 16S ribosomal RNA". It matches the Rfam family "Bacterial small subunit ribosomal RNA", at positions 524 to 776 of the family's 1533-position model. The record is from RNAcentral.